This is an RNA transcript of Ananas comosus (pineapple), 2038 nucleotides long. It is a transcript of the gene named glucan endo-1,3-beta-glucosidase 6, with no coding region annotated. The record is from RefSeq and is a predicted model, not a curated record. The transcript is spliced from 3 exons. Lineage: Eukaryota; Viridiplantae; Streptophyta; Magnoliopsida; Poales; Bromeliaceae.
GGUGGUGGUGGGAGUGGUAAUCUCUUUUAUGUUUCUGGUGAUAUCUGUGAGUGGGAUUGGAGCUAACUGGGGGACACAAACCAGCCACCCACUCUCACCCACCACAGUGGUUCAGAUGCUGAAGGAUAAUGGGUUCCAAAAAGCUAAGAUUUUUGAUGCUGAGGAGGGGACUAUGAGUGCCUUGAAGAAGAGUGGGCUUGAGGUGAUGGUCGGCAUUCCGAACGAUAUGUUGGCGACGCUCGCGACGAGCUCCAAGGCGGCCGCAGAUUGGGUGUCCAAGAAUGUUUCUUCAUACAUAAGUGAUGGUGUCAAUAUCAGGUACGUUGCAGUGGGGAAUGAGCCAUUCUUGCAGACGUACAAUGGGAGCUUUCUCCAAACCACUUUUCCGUCCCUCCAGAACAUCCAAAGGGCCCUCAUAAAAGCUGGUUUAAGCAGCCAGGUCAAAGCGACUGUUCCCCUCAAUGCUGAUGUCUACCAGUCCCCCUCUGGCCGCCCCUCCGAUGGCGACUUCCGCACCGACAUCCACGACCUCAUGCUCGCCAUCGUCAAGUUCCUGAGUGACAACGCCGCCCCCUUCACCGUCAACAUCUACCCUUUCAUCAGCCUCUAUUCGGAUCCCAACUUUCCCGUCGACUAUGCCUUCUUCGAUGGGAAUGCAUCUCCCGUCGUAGACGGCUCGACCACAUACACCAAUAUGUUCGACGCAAACCAUGACACCCUGGUCUGGGCUUUGAAGAAGAACGGGUUUGCGAAUCUACCAGUAAUCAUCGGUGAGAUCGGUUGGCCGACUGAUGGGGACGUAAAUGCGAACAUCCAAUACGCGCAGAGAUUCAAUCAGGGUUUCAUGAACCACAUCUCGACGGGCCAAGGGACACCGAUGCGGCCCGGACCGAUCGAUGCAUACUUGUUUAGCUUGAUCGAUGAGGAUGAGAAGAGCAUACAACCCGGGAAUUUCGAGCGGCACUGGGGUAUCUUCACUUACGAUGGGUUGCCCAAGUACCAGCUCAAUCUCGCUGGGACAACGGCGAAUUCUAGAGGUCUAGUUCGCGCGAAGAAUGUGAAGUACUUAGACAAGAAGUGGUGCGUGCUGAAGCCAUCGGCAAAUCUUGAUGACUCGAGGAUCGCACCGAGCAUAAGCUAUGCAUGCGGGAAUGCCGACUGCACGUGCCUGGGGUUCAAGACCUCGUGUGGUAAUUUGGAUGCGAGAGGGAACAUCUCUUACGCUUUCAACAACUACUACCAGAAGAACGAUCAGGAUGACGUGGCAUGUGGGUUCUCUAACCUCGCCACGAUCACAAACAUGGACCCGACCACCGGGACUUGCAGGUUUGGGAUCAUGAUCGAGGUCGACUCGGGGUUCUCUUGGAAAAUGCGGCAGAUCAGAAAGAGGGAAGCUGCUUUACCACUGCUUGUGUUUCUCCAACUGUUCUUGACAUUGUUUUAACCAUUAAAUCCUUUUUUGCUUUCGAUUGGUAUGUAAUUGGGCUUUGGUGAAAAUCAAAAAGCCGCAGGAUCGGUCUUAAAAGCACUUCUUCACGGGAAAACCCAUGGGAUGCAUGCAGCUGGAGUGCUCAGAUAUAAGCAAUUAAACUGAAGAUUUGAUGCUGCUUUGAGUAAUCAUAAGAAUGUGGAAGCAGACAGCUAACUGUAACAGUGAAUGGACUAUUCAGAUUAGAAAAACAAUAUGGAGGGGAAGGUUCUAUACAUAUACAGAGAAAGGCAAGAAGAGGAAGGAAGAGCCACAACGGUCAGGCAUGAGGAAUUGGAGCUCCACUUCCACCUGGAUUAGCAUAUGGUGCCGGAUCAACAUUCCCAUAAUCAUCUUCACGUAGCAUCAAGGAAUUUUCGCAUUGUCGCAUCCUGGCCGUUCCAUCCUUUAAUCCUUUAGUAAAAGGGGCAUUCUCGUGAAAUGCUUCUGGUUCUUGUUUACAUCCGAAGGUUGACGAUGUCGACGACACUGGCAGAAUAAAUAGCCAUGACAACAACAACAGCACUAGUAGAAGUGAUCUCAUGGGCGGCAACUUUACUGCGCAGGUAA